RNAcentral lists this non-coding RNA (26 nucleotides) under Macaca fascicularis (crab-eating macaque). Lineage: Eukaryota; Metazoa; Chordata; Mammalia; Primates; Cercopithecidae. The record is from RNAcentral. RNAcentral also lists the same sequence under 1 other name.
UCCUGCUCUCACUCCUGAAAGCCCCA